This 896-nucleotide ribosomal RNA is filed under the name Orbilia renispora. RNAcentral's name for it is "partial large subunit ribosomal RNA". It matches the Rfam family "Eukaryotic large subunit ribosomal RNA", at positions 52 to 978 of the family's 3401-position model. Lineage: Eukaryota; Fungi; Ascomycota; Orbiliomycetes; Orbiliales; Orbiliaceae. The record is from RNAcentral.
GGAGGAAAAGAAACCAACAGGGAUUGCCUCAGUAACGGCGAGUGAAGCGGCAAGAGCUCAAAUUUGAAAUCUGGCGCAAGCCCGAGUUGUAAUUUGAAGAGGAUGCCUCGGUUGCGGCCCCAGCCAAAGUUCCUUGGAACAGGACGUCAUGGAGGGUGAGAAUCCCGUCUGGCUGGCGGUCUACACCAUGUGUGGCUCCUUCGAAGAGUCGAGUUGUUUGGGAAUGCAGCUCAAAAUGGGUGGUAGAUUUCCAUCUAAAGCUAAAUACUGGCGAGAGACCGAUAGCGCACAAGUAGAGUGAUCGAAAGAUGAAAAGCACUUUGAAAAGAGAGUUAAACAGUACGUGAAAUUGUUGAAAGGGAAGCGCUUGCAAUCAGACUCGCCUGCAGUUGAUCAACGUUCCUUCUGGGUCGUGCACUCUUCUGUCGGCGGGCCAGCAUCGGUCACGACGGCGGGACAAAGACGUCGGGAAUGUGGCUCUUCGGAGUGUUAUAGCCCGGCGUGCAAUGCCGCCAGCCGUGAYCGAGGUCCGCGCUUCGGCUAGGAUGCUGGCUUAAUGGUUGUAAGCGACCCGUCUUGAAACACGGACCAAGGAGUCUAACAUCUAUGCGAGUUUUUGGGUGUAAAACCCACGGGCGCAAUGAAAGUGAACGGAGGUGGGAGCCCUCGGGUGCACCAUCGACCGAUCCUGAUGUUCUCGGAUGGAUUUGAGUAUGAGCAUAGCUGUUGGGACCCGAAAGAUGGUGAACUAUGCCUGAAUAGGGUGAAGCCAGAGGAAACUCUGGUGGAGGCUCGCAGCGGUUCUGACGUGCAAAUCGAUCGUCAAAUUUGGGUAUAGGGGCGAAAGACUAAUCGAACCAUCUAGUAGCUGGUUCCUGCCGAAGUUUCCCUCAGGA